AGAGUUUGAUCCUGGCUCAGAUUGAACGCUGGCGGCAUGCUUACACAUGCAAGUCGAACGGUAACAGGUCUUCGGAUGCUGACGAGUGGCGAACGGGUGAGUAAUACAUCGGAACGUGCCCGAUCGUGGGGGAUAACGCAGCGAAAGCUGUGCUAAUACCGCAUACGAUCUACGGAUGAAAGCGGGGGAUCGCAAGACCUCGCGCGGACGGAGCGGCCGAUGGCAGAUUAGGUAGUUGGUGGGAUAAAAGCUUACCAAGCCGACGAUCUGUAGCUGGUCUGAGAGGACGACCAGCCACACUGGGACUGAGACACGGCCCAGACUCCUACGGGAGGCAGCAGUGGGGAAUUUUGGACAAUGGGCGCAAGCCUGAUCCAGCCAUGCCGCGUGCAGGAUGAAGGCCUUCGGGUUGUAAACUGCUUUUGUACGGAACGAAAAAGUUCUCUCUAAUACAGGGGGCGAAUGACGGUACCGUAAGAAUAAGCACCGGCUAACUACGUGCCAGCAGCCGCGGUAAUACGUAGGGUGCGAGCGUUAAUCGGAAUUACUGGGCGUAAAGCGUGCGCAGGCGGUUAUAUAAGACAGAUGUGAAAUCCCCGGGCUCAACCUGGGAACUGCAUUAGUGACUGUAUAGCUAGAGUGCGGCAGAGGGGGAUGGAAUUCCGCGUGUAGCAGUGAAAUGCGUAGAUAUGCGGAGGAACACCGAUGGCGAAGGCAAUCCCCUGGGCCUGCACUGACGCUCAUGCACGAAAGCGUGGGGAGCAAACAGGAUUAGAUACCCUGGUAGUCCACGCCCUAAACGAUGUCAACUGGUUGUUGGGCCUUCACUGGCUCAGUAACGAAGCUAACGCGUGAAGUUGACCGCCUGGGGAGUACGGCCGCAAGGUUAAAACUCAAAGGAAUUGACGG
This 909-nucleotide ribosomal RNA is filed under the name uncultured beta proteobacterium. Its description in RNAcentral is "bacterial SSU rRNA". It matches the Rfam family "Bacterial small subunit ribosomal RNA", at positions 8 to 916 of the family's 1533-position model. Lineage: Bacteria; Pseudomonadati; Pseudomonadota; Betaproteobacteria. The record is from RNAcentral.